CGGCGUGCCUAAUACAUGCAAGUCGAACGCACUCUCGUUUAGAUUGAAGGAGCUUGCUCCUGAUUGAUAAACAUUUGAGUGAGUGGCGGACGGGUGAGUAACACGUGGGUAACCUGCCCUAAAGUGGGGGAUAACAUUUGGAAACAGAUGCUAAUACCGCAUAAAGCCUAACACCGCAUGGUGUAGGGUUGAAAGAUGGCUUCGGCUAUCACUUUAGGAUGGACCCGCGGUGCAUUAGUUAGUUGGUGAGGUAAAGGCUCACCAAGACCGUGAUGCAUAGCCGACCUGAGAGGGUAAUCGGCCACACUGGGACUGAGACACGGCCCAGACUCCUACGGAGGCAGCAGUAGGGAAUCUUCCACAAUGGACGAAAGUCUGAUGGAGCAACGCCGCGUGAGUGAAGAAGGUUUUCGGAUCGUAAAACUCUGUUGUUGGAGAAGAAUGUAUCUGAUAGUAACUGAUCAGGUAGUGACGGUAUCCAACCAGAAAGCCACGGCUAACUACGUG
RNAcentral lists this ribosomal RNA (507 nucleotides) under uncultured bacterium. Its description in RNAcentral is "bacterial SSU rRNA". It matches the Rfam family "Bacterial small subunit ribosomal RNA", at positions 40 to 507 of the family's 1533-position model. The record is from RNAcentral.